Molecule: ribosomal RNA, 438 nt
Filed under: uncultured bacterium
Lineage: Bacteria
Description: bacterial SSU rRNA
Rfam family: Bacterial small subunit ribosomal RNA
Source: RNAcentral
GCGAACGCUAGCGGCGGGCCUAACACAUGCAAGUCGAGCGCAUACUUUCGGGUAUGAGCGGCGGACGGGUGAGUAACACGUAGGUAGUCUGCCCUAUGGUGGGGGAUAACCCGGGGAAACCCGGGCUAAUACCGCAUACGGCCUUCGGGUCAAAGCCUUCGGGCGCCAAAGGAUGAGCCUGCGUCGCAUUACCUAGUUGGUGGGGUAAAAGCCUACCAAGGGGACGAUGCGUAGCUGGUCUGAGAGGAUGAUCAGCCACACUGGGACUGAGACACGGCCCAGACUCCUACGGGAGGCAGCAGUGGGGAAUAUUGCGCAAUGGGCGAAAGCCUGACGCAGCUACGCCGCGUGGGUGAUGAAGGCCUUCGGGUUGUAAAGCCCUGUCGGGAGGGACGAAGUUCUGACGGUACCUCCCAAGAAAGCACCGGCUAACUCCGU